CAGCAGCCGCGGGAAUACGUAGGGUGCGAGCGUUAAUCGGAAUUACUGGGCGUAAAGCGUGCGCAGGCGGUUCGUUAAGACAGAUGUGAAAUCCCCGGGCUUAACCUGGGAACUGCAUUUGUGACUGACGGGCUAGAGUAUGGCAGAGGGGGGUAGAAUUCCACGUGUAGCAGUGAAAUGCGUAGAGAUGUGGAGGAAUACCGAUGGCGAAGGCAGCCCCCUGGGCCAAUACUGACGCUCAUGCACGAAAGCGUGGGGAGCAAACAGGAUUAGAUACCCCAGUAGUCCCUGUCUCUUAUAA
RNAcentral lists this ribosomal RNA (301 nucleotides) under uncultured bacterium. RNAcentral's name for it is "partial 16S ribosomal RNA". It matches the Rfam family "Bacterial small subunit ribosomal RNA", at positions 509 to 809 of the family's 1533-position model. The record is from RNAcentral.